GGUUAAUUAAAAUCCUUAAUCCCAGCAAUCUUGUUUGGUUGACCGUUUUCACUAACAUGGUUCUGAGAUUGACGAGUAGAUUUACAAAUUCUCGUGAUUUGCGUCUAUGUCACUACUACAUAAUAGAUCAUUACUAACGGGCGUAAAAUGACAUCAGUAGCGGGCAGGUCACCCGUUACUGAUGGGGCGCCUCAUCAGUAGCGGCCACACCACACACCCGACACUGAUGGGGAUUAGGAAAUAAAAAAAAUCACAAAAAAAAAUCGCCGGCUUAUCAAAGCUCCGCUGCCGCGGCUCCGGACCCCACGUGCGACGCUGCUCCUCCAGGUGCCGGCAGUCCACCAAACGGAAUUUCUAGGAAUAAAUGCCUUAAUUAAUCAGGAUUUGUAAGGUUAGUCGAAAUCCAAGGAUUAAGAGGUUAGGACUCAAUUCAAACUUUGCCUAAAACAUCAGGGUUAGAAAUCCCGACCGUGUUCAUCAUUUUCCUAACGUGCCAAACAGCUUUAAGGUCAUAAUUGACCGAGAUUAACAAGUUCAGGGUCCCGAUUUGAGGGAUUAAGAAGUUAGGAUUCAUCGAUUCAUCUCGGACGCUCUCUACAAGUAGAGAGUUGAAAACGGACUUUUUUCUUUGUAUACCUGCCACACGUAAGUCCAAGCCGCCAAGGGACGAGCCGAAGAUGGUGCCCCGGAUACGGUGCAUGCAUGCACCGUAUGCCUCAUCAGCCGCGGCAGAAGCUAAAACCUAAAAAAAUGUGCUAGCCUUCUAUCUCUGCGCCUGCGCUUCCCAAGGGACAUGCAACUAACAGGGCCUGCUCGUCCCAAGGUGACCAAGGCAGUAUUAUGCAAUCUGUAAGUUGUGCUCGAUCGAUGUAGCAGCCCAAUGAGUAACUGCUUUCCUAUAUAUGUGACUAGCUAGGAUGAUGCAUGUGUGACUGGCUAUGGACCAGUCGAUGUUUUAGCAGAUGUGUCGUGGCCAUGUGG
This 981-nucleotide long non-coding RNA is filed under the name Brachypodium distachyon (stiff brome). RNAcentral describes it as "long non-coding RNA (BDIS_LNC000917)". The record is from RNAcentral. Lineage: Eukaryota; Viridiplantae; Streptophyta; Magnoliopsida; Poales; Poaceae.